GGCAGUAUGGCCGAGUGGUUAAGGCGUCAGACUUGUAAGUCCAGAUGCUUUUUCCUGAUAUGAACAUAUUCUCACGCGAUCUUGCAGAAGAUCAAAUCUCCCUGAUCCUG
Molecule: non-coding RNA, 110 nt
Organism: Thozetella sp. PMI_491
Lineage: Eukaryota; Fungi; Ascomycota; Sordariomycetes; Chaetosphaeriales; Chaetosphaeriaceae
Source: the annotation of a GenBank genome assembly